This 130-nucleotide ribosomal RNA is filed under the name Salmonella enterica subsp. enterica serovar Infantis. RNAcentral's name for it is "partial 16S ribosomal RNA". It matches the Rfam family "Bacterial small subunit ribosomal RNA", at positions 1 to 125 of the family's 1533-position model. Lineage: Bacteria; Pseudomonadati; Pseudomonadota; Gammaproteobacteria; Enterobacterales; Enterobacteriaceae. RNAcentral also lists the same sequence under 8 other names. The record is from RNAcentral.
AAAUUGAAGAGUUUGAUCAUGGCUCAGAUUGAACGCUGGCGGCAGGCCUAACACAUGCAAGUCGAACGGUAGCACAGAGAGCUUGCUCUCGGGUGACGAGUGGCGGACGGGUGAGUAAUGUCUGGGAAAC